AAGUCGUAACAAGGUUUCCGUAGGGUGAGUCCAAUCCACAAUACCCCUCGUGCAUAAUUUUUAACUAACGUGUCUUCUAGUGAACCUGCGGAAGGAUCAUUACUGAGUUAGGGUCUUUUAGGCUCGAUCUCCAACCCUUUGUGUAAAUACCACGUUGCUUUGGCGGGCCCGUCUUUAACCGGACCGCUGGGGGUCUUUGACCUCUGGCCAGCGCUCGUCAGUAGCCCCUACAAACUCUUUUAACCAUGUUAAUCUGAAACUUGUUAAAUAAACUAAAACUUUCAACAACGGAUCUCUUGGUUCUGGCAUCGAUGAAGAACGCAGCGAAAUGCGAUAAGUAAUGCGAAUUGCAGAAUUCAGUGAGUCAUCGAAUCUUUGAACGCACAUUGCGCCCUUUAGUAUUCUGAAGGGCAUGCCUGUUCGAGCGUCAUUAUCAUUAAUCAAGCCCGGCUUGCUGUUGAACCCUUUAUCUUGAAAAAGAUAGGUCCUAAAGAUAAUGACGGCGUCAGUUGGACCCUAGAUGCAACGAGCUUUAACUAGCACGCAUCUUAGUUGGCCCUUUUGACCCGGUCUCUUUACACCAAUUUUAUAGGUUGACCUCGGAUCAGGUAGGAAUACCCGCUGAACUUAAGCAUAUCAAUAAGCGGAGGAAAAGAAACCAACAGGGAUUACCUCAGUAACGGCGAGUGAAGCGGUAAUAGCUCAAAUUUGAAAUCUGGCUCUUUUAGGGUCCGAGUUGUAAUUUGUAGAGGAUGUUUCGGGCACGGUUACGGUUUAAAUUUCUUGGAACAGAAUGUCAAAGAGGGUGAGAGUCCCGUCUUGAACCGAUUACUUCGUCCAUGUGAAACUCCUUCGACGAGUCGAGUUGUUUGGGAAUGCAGCUCAAAAUGGGUGGUAAAUUUCAUCUAAAGCUAAAUAUUGGCCAGAGACCGAUAGCGCACAAGUAGAGUGAUCGAAAGAUGAAAAGCACUUUGAAAAGAGAGUUAAACAGUAUGUGAAAUUGUUGAAAGGGAAGCGCUUGUAAUCAGACUUGAGCUUAACGGUUCCCCCUUCGUUCUCGUUGGGUUAUUCUGUUUUGUCCAGGCCAACAUCAGUUCGAGUGGUUGGUUAAAGACUUUGGGAAUGUAUCUACCCUCCGGGGUCGACUUAUAGCCUAGAGUGUCAUGCAGCCUACCUGGACUGAGGAACGCGCUUCGGCUCGGAUGUUGGCGUAAUGGUUAUAAGCGACC
This 1229-nucleotide ribosomal RNA is filed under the name uncultured fungus. RNAcentral's name for it is "eukaryotic LSU rRNA". The stretch from base 595 to 1229 matches the Rfam family "Eukaryotic large subunit ribosomal RNA", at positions 1 to 649 of the family's 3401-position model. The record is from RNAcentral. Lineage: Eukaryota; Fungi.